CAGGGAUCUUGGGCUAAGUUGAGAUUGCAAAAUAAAAGAAAGAAGCAUUAUUUUGAUUUAGAAAAUAAAUUAUCUUAAAAUUGAUGUAAUUAGAAAAUAAAGAGCUCAGGAGUUUUGAAUUAAUUUUGCACUAGUAGAGUUGUAUCUCUUUUUUUUUAAUUAAAUAGAUGCGAUUAAUCUUAAAAAAAAUAUCUAUCUUUCCUCGACACAUCCCGUACCCAUAGAUCAUGGUGCGUCUUCGAAAAGUACUAGGUAAAUAACUCUUCUUUCCUCAGCACACUCCGUACCAUAGAUCACGUUGCAUCUUCGGAAAGUAAAGGUUGUUCCUAUUAUUAAUCUAACAGGAAAGUAUAAAUAAAAGCAUAUGAAAGAGAGCAAAUAAAAAACUCAUAACGAUUUAAAUAAAAAGCAUAAUCUUUAUUGCAUAUAAAGAAAUACAAGAAAGUUUAGAACAAUAAAUCCACUCAAUGUCGUUACAAAAUUUCUUCUCCACUCCCGAGACUGCUAGCCUAGCUGCUCAUGGAGUAGUCCCUUUCUCUUCCUCUAUGCAAGGCUCUAGAAGAAUUUCUGGGAUGAUCCUCCAAUGGGAGUACAAGAGCCUUUUUAUAGGUGUUAGGAGGGAGGAGUUUUACAUGGUUUUCAGAUGUGGGACUAAAGAAAAUACUAAAGACUAAAAGAUGGAUGGAUGAGAUGGAA
RNAcentral lists this long non-coding RNA (696 nucleotides) under Elaeis guineensis (African oil palm). RNAcentral describes it as "long non-coding RNA (EGUI_LNC009236)". The record is from RNAcentral. Lineage: Eukaryota; Viridiplantae; Streptophyta; Magnoliopsida; Arecales; Arecaceae.